AUGCAGAUCUUUGUGAAGAGCCUCACCGGCAAGACCAUCACCCUCGAGGUCGAGUCCUCGGACACCAUCCACAACGUCAAGGCUAAGAUCCAGGACAAGGAGGGCAUCCCUCCGGACCAGCAGCGUCUCAUCUUUGCUGGCAAGCAGCUCGAGGAUGGCUGCACCCUGGCUGACUACGACAUCCAGAAGGAGUCCACCCUCCACUUGGUGCUAAGGCUCCGUGGUGGCAUGCAGAUCUUUGUGAAGACCCUCACCGACAAGACCAUCACCUUAGGGGUUGAUGUCACGACCCUCAUCGGAUCGGACCAGAAGAGGUAG
Molecule: ribosomal RNA, 318 nt
Filed under: Triticum aestivum (bread wheat)
Lineage: Eukaryota; Viridiplantae; Streptophyta; Magnoliopsida; Poales; Poaceae
Description: partial small subunit ribosomal RNA
Source: RNAcentral